Molecule: long non-coding RNA, 484 nt
Organism: Mus musculus (house mouse)
Lineage: Eukaryota; Metazoa; Chordata; Mammalia; Rodentia; Muridae
Product: predicted gene, 40484
Exons: 2
Source: RefSeq, a predicted model, not a curated record
CCUGGCACUGGGGUGGAGUGUGGUGACAUUCAUUGUCUUUACACCUAUAGCAGGACCCUCCUGGUCUGGACUUAGACAUUCUAGAAGCGAACUGAACUCUCUCUCCGAGUUAAGACUUUCAUUUACCCUCUGGAUGCACACUCUCCCAGUUUUAGGUCACAGCAAAACAGACAGGAAGCCUCAGAAGAUUCCCACAUACUUCCUGCCUCAACUCAUGCACAGCGUCCGCCAUGACCACCCCCACCGAAAAGAUGGAUGUCUUACAACUGUUUAAUUUACACAGACACGGUGGGUCCGCCCCACUCAAUCCCAAUUCGGGAGGCAGAGGUAGGUGGAUCUCUGUGAGUUCAAGGUCAGCCUGGUUUACAGAGCAAGUCCCAGGCUAUUCGGAGGUGAUGGCAAAAAAAGGAAUUGGAAGCCCACCUGGCCUUAAAUAGCCCAACACACAAACUUUCGUGCACCAACUCACUUACACACACACACA